GGGGAUGUAAAUGGUUUCGACAGUUAUAUAGAAAUGUAAAUAGCGAGUAGUGGAUGCUUACUUGGCCACUUAAAAAAUGUAAGAAAAAGAAUAAACGCUGAUAAUAACAAAUUAGCUUACGCAGCAUAGAGUCUGCGUACGUCUUGCUUAAAAGGCCUACGGUUUAAGAUAAGGCGAGGAAUAGUAGGAAACGAAAUUAUCUUUUUCCUUGAAGGUAAUGGGUAUUUUAAGGAUACUAAAUAAAAACAGUUUGUUUAUUAACUUUUUUAUUUAGGAAUUUAAUAAUAAACUGCACUCGGAGAAGUUUACAUGGAAAUAUCACUGGACAGGAGUUCGAAUCUCCUCAUCUCCACCA
RNAcentral lists this transfer-messenger RNA (355 nucleotides) under chicken gut metagenome. It matches the Rfam family "transfer-messenger RNA". Rfam says of the family: Bacterial tmRNA, also known as 10Sa RNA or SsrA, is named for its dual tRNA and mRNA-like properties. Its role is to liberate the mRNA from a stalled ribosome. The record is from RNAcentral.